RNAcentral lists this ribosomal RNA (253 nucleotides) under uncultured bacterium. RNAcentral describes it as "partial 16S ribosomal RNA". It matches the Rfam family "Bacterial small subunit ribosomal RNA", at positions 524 to 776 of the family's 1533-position model. The record is from RNAcentral.
GACGAACCGUGCGAGCGUUGUUCGGAAUCACUGGGCUUAAAGGGCGCGUAGGCGGGCCCGCAAGUCAGGGGUGAAAUCCCACGGCUCAACCGUGGAAGUGCCUUUGAUACUGGGGAUCUCGAGGGAGGUAGGGGCGUGCGGAACUUCCGGUGGAGCGGUGAAAUGCGUAGAUAUCGGAAGGAACACCGGUGGCGAAAGCGGCGCGCUGGACCUCUUCUGACGCUGAGGCGCGAAAGCCAGGGGAGCAAACGGG